CGGCGGCGGCGCCCUCCCCCACAACCAACGGCGCGGCGCCCUCUCCCCGAACAACGGCGGCGUGGAGGCGGCUGCGGCCCGGCGGGAGCGGGAGGGGCGGCGGGCCGGACCUCGCCUCCGCCAGAUCUGGCGGCAUGGAAGCGGCUGUGGUCCGGCGAGGGCAGGAGAGGCGGCGGCGUCGUCUCUUUCUCUCUCUCUGUGCAUGGUGGGGAGGUGCGGCAGUGGUGGUGGUGGCGGACGUCAUGGAACGCCGGUCGGGCCUCGCCUCCGCCAGAUCCGGCGGUGUGGAGGCAGCUGCAGCCCGGCGGGGGUGGGAGGGGCGGCGGGCCGGACCUCGCCUCCGCCAGAUUCGGCGGCAUGGAGGCGGCUGCGGUCCGACGGGGGCGGGAGAGGUGGCGGCGUCGUCUCUUUCUCUCUCUCUGUGAAUGGUGUCGGUUCUCCUGGUGAUGCUAACCGAAUAGGACUUGGUAUAACAGAUGGGAGUUUGUUUCCUAUUUUCGUGGAAUCGGACAUAUUCUUUUUUUUUCCCGAUUUUUCUUUUACCGCGUUGAUGAAUCGGAUUCGUUCCGGUUUUUUUUUCACCCGGUUUUUUUGACGGACGAUGGAAGCACCUCUUAUUUUUUAAGUAGUAGUAGAUAUGGGGUGAUGAAGUAAUGCGAAUCAGGAGCGGAGACAGGAAUAACAAUUCUAAUCUUCUACUUUAAUCCAUUAGAAUUGUAGUACUUUAAAACUUCAAAAAACAAAACUAUGUAAAUUAUACAUUAGUUGAGUCUUAGACUUAGAAAAAUCCUGGUUCCACUUGUGCGAAUGCAGUGUACGUGUACACUCAGUAUAGCAUAUCGUAGCAACAUUAUUAGUCUUGGGGAAAAAAAUCAUUAACGUAACAAUUGUAGAGACGCGAUAGUUAGCUAAGGGGCGGAUAUAUAGGAGUAGAGUCUUACUCUUAUGCCCAAAUAUCCAUAGAAAUUAUACUUCAAAAAUUGAAAAAUAAAAGACAAAUUUAUGUAGAUUAUAGUAGUUCAGCCUUACUCUUGAGUACAUUUUGGCUCCGUCACGGGGUUAGCUAGCUACUUUCGUGUUUUAGAAUAUAACAGAUGUAAUACAUUUUAUUACUAUAUGUUUAAUCAGUGUAGAUUGCUAUAUAUUUUAGUUUAAGUAGGCAGAGAAUGAGAGAGAAAAAUAUCCAAGAGCGCGGCGGAGGCAAACAGUGGCGUGACCCCGAUGGAGCGAGCUGCGUUGGAGCCGCGAGCAUCACACGUAAGCUAGAGUACGUGCCAGUUUUGCCAGUUGGCAGCUGGCACUAGCUAGCUAGCUUCCAGCCGCCCGUCUCGGACUCGAUCCGCGUAGGAGUCGAUCGACUCUGUACCUGGACGACGACGUACGUACGUACCUUCGGGAGGGAUACGGAACAAAACGGCGUCGCGUAGCGCUAGUCAAGAUCUAGAAACUUCCGCGCGCGCCGAUCGAUCGACCAACACACAGCAGGUAGGGAGACGACUCUGCUUCGGAACUCCGAUAUUCCACCGAAUAUCGGACGCCCAACUGUUUACACGUCAUUACACCACCUACGUAUGCAGCAUGCAAAAAAAGAAUCAGUCAGUUAAAUGUUCCAGUUAACUAACGAGUGAAACAUCAAGUUAUAUAGGGUGAAACAAAAAAUCAGCAACUGAAACAUUUAAAAAAAUUAUGAAACAUGAUGAAGAUACACGUUAAAACAUAUCGCUAUCACAAAUAAAACAACCAAUGUUAAUGGAUUGAAACAUAUGUUUUUCUUUCAUCAAAAUAUAAUCAUGUGAUAUCUUGUUGUAAAGAUUUAAUUACAAAGAAUACAACGGUGUGAUCGAAUCGUAGAUUGAAUAAUUAGUUUAAGAGAAAAAUCGUUUUGAAACUAGCUAAAAUGCAUGCAUCAUGCAUGUGGUGGAGAGAGAGAGAGGAGAGAGAGUAGUAACAGUUAUUUUGUGAAUUUUGUGAAACACGCUGAAGACACAUAUUGAAACAUGUCCCUAUCACCUAUAAAACAAAAAAGUGUUAAUGGAUUGAAACAUAUGAUUAUUUUUUAUCGAAAUAUAAUCAUGAGACAUCUUGUUGUAAAGAUUUAAUUACAACGAAUACAACGGUGUGAUCGGAUUGUACAUUAGAUAAAUAAUUUAAGAGAAAAUUCGUUUUAAAUAUCGUUAAAGGUGCAUGUUAUAUGGUUAGAGAUGUGUAUAUGUGUCAGAGGAUGCUAUCCGAUUUUUCAACUUGCUUCGGACGUUCGAAGAGAAGCAUUCAGGUAGGUGGCCACGGUUAACGUCGCAGCUAGCUAGCCAAGCGUUGGAUAUCGACGGCGAUAGAUAGAUGCUUCUCACCUUCACCGCGGGGCCAGCCGCAGUCAAAUCCCGCCCCCGCGUAGUCGCGUACUAGUAGUACACGUAUUUGGAGACACUGAGAGCAGGUACAGUAGCAGACUAUAAUCCAUCUAUAAAUAUAUUUUAAAGAGAUAAGAUAAAAGAGAGGAGAACAGCGGGAUACAGAUCUGUAGCCAGCUGUAGCACGGAUUUUAAGACGUACUAUGUGUAUUGUAGGUAGGACCAAAUAUUAAUUGUAUAGUAAGUAACUAUUAUAUAAGAUGAUUUGGAGAUAGUAGUCGGCUAUCCUAUUAAACGGCACGGCGUUUUGCCUGCGUGGGCGGUGGCGCCAGCUUGGCGUUUGGCCGCAUGCAUGCGUACGUUGCUACACCGACCUUGACGCCGCCCGAUACGUACGUAGCGUACGUACGCGCCGUGGACUCUCCACGUACAUCUCGAUCGACUGGCCGGGCCGGGCGUGCGGGUCAAAACCGAUCGAUCGAUCGAUCGGUUGGAGUAAAAACAACCGAUUAACGGCUGGACUAGCUAGCUAGUCCCCAUCGAUUACGCUACUUCGUCAUCGAUCAAUAUUACGGUACCAUAUGCAUGGUCCACUGUACAUUCUGUACACGAUAAAGUCAACAAAUCGCCGGGCCGGUAAUAAGUCCACAAGGCCGCCGAUUGCUUAAUUAGCUUCUCACCAGGUCUGAGCUAGCCGUCUUCUCUGGAGGGGUUAACAAACAAAUUAAUGAGUAAUAAUAUGCUUCUAGACUCAUCUAGUUCAACAGUUUUUUCUUCUGUGUCCCCUUUGAAAUUCAUGACCCUACGCAAAUGAUCUAGGGUCUGUGAUUUAAAACUGAUUACUCACUUGAUUAUUUUAGUGAGAUAAAUGUAAUAAAUAUUUUUAGAAAUAAACUUAAUAAAUAAUUCAGAACAUAUAGUCUAACUAAUACAAUACUCCCUCCGUCCCAAAAAAAAAGACAAACCCUGGUUUCCGUGCCCAACAUUUGACCGUCCGUCUUAUUUGAAAAAAUUAUGAAAAAAAUUAAAAAGACAAGUCACGCAUAGAAUAUUAAUCAUAUUUUAUCAUCUAACAAUAAUGAAAAUAUGAAUUAUAAAAAGAUUUCAUAUAAGACGGACAGUCGAAGUUGGACACGGAAAUCCAGGGUUUGCCUUUUUUUGGGACGGAGGGAGUACAAGAUAGCUUUUUUAAAAAAUAUUUUUUAGAAGCGUAGAGCAAAUAAUCUAGUAUUAAUUUCUAUAAUGAAGUUUGCUUUUUUUUCUUAAAAAAAAAAGAAACCGUGGUCAGAGUUUUCACCUACCACUUUAGUUUGCGUUUAGGAGCAGGACGCCUAGGCAACUUCACACGCAUUAUAUAUGUGUUUGAUUAUAUAGUUGUGCAAUUUAAUUUGUUUCACUACUUCUAAAAAAAAGAACAACUAUAUUCAGCAAGACGAAGACAACAAAAACCCAAAUGGGAACACUAGCGACGUGGUACGUACGCAUCAUGCAAGUCACCGCCCAAAUUGCAUAAACCAAAGUUUAACUAGAGCUAUCACAGCACAAUUUCGUUAAGCAACAUCGCUGGAGACUGGAGAGUACUGUAGUAUGCAAAUUGACUAUUGCCAACGGGGCCAAGGCACCAAAACCGGUCCAUCUAAAAUUCUACUCCUCUUUACUAAAUUAUAAGUAUAUAUUUUUUUAUACGAUAUUCAAUGGUAUAUUUUGAUUAUUAAUUCAUUUUAUAUUGUAUCAUCAGGAUGUAUAAAUUUAGUAUAUAUCACAUGAAAACAUUUUAAAAUACGAAUAAUCAGGGGCGUCCCGGUCAAAUCGGGUUCCCAUAUAAAAUAUUAAAAUGGGGUCCUAGUAGCCUAGUAAAUUUUUUAUAGUAAAAUUUAAAACGGGCGUGGCGAUCAGCCGAUCAUCAGCGAUGAAGUAGAAGCGGAGGCCGGAGGGGAUUGGGGAGAGGAGACGAAGCGGCUGCGGUGUCGGGACUUCGGCGAUACGCGACGACGCUGAUGCCUGGACGGGAGUACGAUGGAAGAUGGAUCGGUUCACCUUCUGCAACGUUUUGGGCCUUGUUUUACUACUAUUUAGACUGCAAAUUAAUAAAAUUAAAGCCUCUAAUAUUAUUAUAUAUGGGACAUACUUAAUAUUUUAGGGGCCCUUAAAAUUUGGGGGCCAUGUUCAGUAGCACAGCCCGCACAGGUCCAAGCACACCCCUGCGAAUAAUAAUAUAACAUACACAAUACUUGAUGUAGAUUUUGGCUUGCUAGCGUAAUUAUUAGUUAAAAGUUACCAAGUUUGGUUUUUCUAAAGAUAAGGUUGUUGUUGUAUAAUUUGAGAUGGAGUGAGUAGUAUGAAGAUGAAGAUAAAGUUGAGGUACGAAAAACAAGAAUGCCAUCAGUAUAAAAUUAAUUGAGUUUUCAUUAUUACAAACUUGGAAAAUAGAUUUAUAUUUUAAAGCGACUUUCGUAUAUAUAGCUUUCGUACCAAACACACCGUUUAGCAGUUUGAAAAACAUGCUAAUAAAAAUUGAGGUAAGGACUAGUAGUAUACUACUAUGUUAAUUAAAGAGAAAAAAGAACAUGGUCUUAACGAGAGGGUAUAAUUAAACAGGUGAAGAAAAUGAGAAGGGAAUUUCAGUAUCUCUCAUCUCGCCUCCAGUGGCAGCAAAAACAACUGGCAACGGGAAAAACAAUGCCGAGAAAAACCGUUACUACCAUGUGCCAGUUGGCCGUUGGCAGUUGCUUCCGGCCGCGGGCGUCUCGGACUGGAUCCACGUAGGCAAACGGCGUCGUGUAGUGGUCGUAGCAAGUCUAGAAACUUCCGCGCGCGCAGGCGCAGGCACAGGCGCAGCCAAAUGGUUGUGUUUUACCGCGGGGGGCCAGGCGCAGUCAAAUCCCCCGCGUAGACGUAGACGUAGACGUAUAUUGGAGUACACUCCCUGAGCUGUCUGCGCGUAUCAGCGUAUAUACGAUCGAGUAAACGGCGCCACACGGCGCGUGCCUGCGUACGUGGGCGGCGGGCGGGGGCGGUGGCACCAGCUAACGUCCUCUUCCAGCUUGGCGUUGGCCGACCUCGAUCCCUGUUCACUGUUGCUAAUGGCUAAGAGCAAGUCUAAUAGUACAGCCUACUACCAGCUCCAAUUCAUCUAUAGCCAAUCUAAUAGCCAAUUCAUACAAUAGUUGUUUACUAUACUAUUAGUAUAUGGCCCCACCUGUUAUACACACAGUGUGUCUUGGAGUCCGUGCUGCAGCUGGCUACAGAUCUGUAGCCUGCUGCUCUUCUCUCUCAUCGUUUAUAUCAUUAAAAUAUGUUUAUAGCCGGCUAAUAGCCUGCUAUUGUACCUGCUCUAAUGCACCACCAUAAAGAGCAAGUUUAAUAGUAUAGCCCACUACUGGUCAUCUAUAACCAAUCUAAUAGCCAAUUGAUACAAUAGUUGCUAUUAAUAUAUGGUCCCACAUAUUAUACAUAUAUUGUGUUUUGGAGUCCGUGCUGCAGCUAGCUACAGAUAUGUAGCCCGCUACUUUUCUCUCUCAUUGUUUAUCACAUUAAAAUAUAUUUAUAGCUAGUUAAUAGUAUGCUACUGUACCUGCUCUAAUUACGUACCUACUUACGCGCCAUCGACUCUCCACUAAAAACAACCGAUUAACGGCUGGACUAGGGCUAGUCCCCAUCAUUUACGCUACCAGUACGUACUUCACAUCCACCGGUAUUAUACGUACGUACCAUAUGCAUGCUCCAUUCUACGUAUAUACGUGCUGUAUAAUAUACCCUCCGUAUUUUAAUGUAUGACGCCGUUGACUUUUUAACCAACGUUUGACCACUCGUCUUAUUCAAAAUUUUUAUGCAAAUAAAAAAAUACUUAUGUCAUGUUUAAAGAACAUUUGAUGAUAAAUCAAGUCACAAUAAAAUAAAUUAUAAUUACAUAAUUUUUUUUAAUAAGACGAAAGGUCAAACGUUUGUUAAAAAGUCAACGGCGUCAUACAUUAAAAUACGGAGGGAGUACUCAACAAAUUAAGGGUGAGCAUCACCAGUAGCUUUCUUAUUCUAUUCCCUAUCCUUAAAUUUAGAAAAUUUUGGUUAAAAGUCGCAUCCAACAGAAUCCCUAGCAUGUCUUCCAAUAAUCCAGAUUCCCAACUCUGGAUAUGUCAUUCCCGCUCAAGGGAGCGAUUUUUUUUCCCAAUCGCUCUCUCGCGCGCGCACAGAGAAAAUUAACAAAAUGAAGGAGGAAGAGAAAAAUUAAUUUUGUCCGUUGGUACUUGGUAGUUAAAGGGAGAGCCUAUUUUUCAUUAUAGGAAAUCAAUUUUAGGCUUUCUCUUGGAGAUAGGUUUUCUCACUUCCUAUAUUCAGUUUUGAAGAUCCAAAAUAUAUAGUUUUAGGAAUUGAUUAUUGGGAUACUCUUGGUGAUGCUCUACUACUCCCUCUGUCCCAAAAUAUAAUACACAACCACUUUUCUCUCAUGUCUCAUAAUAUAAGACGUGCAUACAUGCAUACAUUAACUAUCACUUCUUAAUCAUUUAAAUUUGGUUUAUUUUAAAUCCUUUACCAUCAGACCCCCCCAAUUGGCCUCAUCUUUUCGCUUAUGCUUAUGCUUAUCAGCUAAAAUUUGAAUUUUCAACCUUAAAUUUGGAGUUGAUUUUGGGUUUUUUCAUCGAAGUUUGUUUUUCAGCAUUUGCUUUUAAAUCGCUAAGAACACGUAUAUAAAAGUUUUAUUCACAAAUCAUUUUUCGUUUGUAAAUAUGUCGUUUCGCUUAUUUCGAAACGAUGGGCUCCAUUGCUUGUACUCCCUCCGCUCUCUAAUAUAAGGGAUUUUGACAUUUUGUUUACACUGUUUUACCAUUCAUCUUAUUUAAAAAAUUUAAAAUUAUUUUUUACUUACUUUGUUAUCCAAAGUACUUUAAGCACAACUUUUCGUUGUUUAUAUUUGCACAAAUUUUUUGAAUAAGACGAGUGGUCAAACAGUACAAGCAAAAUGUCUAAAUCCAUUAUAUUAGGGGACGAAGGGAGUAUGUAUGAAUAUGAUUCAAUAAAGAAGGUGAUUAAUUUUUUUCCUUGAUCUUUAUGUUAGGGAUGGUUGAGUCUUAUAUUUUGGGAUGAAAUGAGUAGUACUAGUGAUUAAUCUGCUUCUAGUUAAACAGAUUUCUUCUCUCUCCCCUUGAAAUUCAUGAUCCCUCGCAUGCAUAUGAGGCCUGUUUAAAACUUCUUAUUCGCUAGAUUAUUUUAGUAAAAUAAUAAUACAUAUUUUUAGAAAUAAAUUUAAUAAUUAAUAAAUAAUUUAGAACAUAUGGUCUAAUUAAUACGAUACAUAAAGGUUCUUUACAAAAAUAUUUUUUUUUAGAAACGUGAAGCAAAUAAUCCAUAGCUAUAUUUAUAAAGCUUGCUAAAAAUGGGCCCUCGUUGUCAGAACGUUCAACUACUACUUUAGGUUGCGUUUAUUCCACGCCAAAAUUAGAAGAUUGAAGAAAUUAGAACGAUGUAACGGAAAAGCUGAAAGUUUAUACUUUAGGUUGCGUUUAUUCCACGCCAAAAUUAGAAGAUUGAAGAAAUUGGAACGAUGUAACGAAAAAGUUGAAAGUUUAUGUGUAUAGGAAAGUUCGAUGUGAUAAAAAAGUUAAAAGUUUUUUUAAAAAAAGUUGGAAUAAACAGAGCCUUAGUUUCCGUUUAGGAACAGGACGUCCAGGCAACUUCUCAUGCACAAAUUCUGUUUCCCUACUUCUAUAAAAAAAAAAAAAAACAACCCAUGCAUGAGGGAGUUGACUGCAUUCAGCAAGCCUGGACAACAAAUUAAAUCUAUCUCACCCCAAAUGGGAACACUAGCGACGUGCUACGUACGCAUCAUGCGAGUCACCGCCCAAAUUGCAUAAACCAUAGUUUAAAUAGCACUAUCACAGCACAAUUUCGUUAUGCGACAUCGCUGGAGACGGUAGUAUGCAAAUUGACUAUUGCCUAUAACGGGCCCAAGUCACCAAAAACCGGUCAUUCCAAAGUACUAGGGUGAUGUUGAAUAUAAAGAUAAAGUUAGGAUAUGAAAAAUAAACAAGAAAAGCUGUCACCGCAUCAAUAAUUAAAUUUUGAUUAUUACAGAUUUAAAAAAUAAUUUAUUUAGCAUUAUUUUUAAGCAAUUUCUAUAUAAAAAGAUUUUAUAUGAAAUAUACUAUUUAGCAGUUUUUUUAAUGCCUCUAUUUAGCAGUUUAAAAAACGGAAUAACAAAAAUCAAGAUAAAAUCUGUCUCCUUGUGAGAAAAGAAUGAAGCCUUAACGAGAGCGUAUAAUUAAACAGGUGAAAGAAAAUGAGAAUGGAAUUUCAGCAUCUCACGCAGCUGUCGCCUCGCCUCGAGUGGCAGCAAAAACAACUGGCAAAACGGGAAAAACAAUGCCGAGAAAAACGACCACAAAAAAGCAGCAGCAGCGUCGACGACGACAGCGACCUCCUCGGCGCCCCGUCCAUACGUCAUCCUCGUUUCCUCCCCUUUGACCAUCUUUCUCCUCUGCCCAGCUUUCCUCGUUCCACACCUCAGUUUCUCACUGCCUUCCGUUGGCCACCCUGCAAAGCCCCAAAAUUACAACUUGGUGCUUGGACGUUCAUCUACGGUCACUACAAGAAAAAUACUCUGUAUAGACAUUUUUCUAGUACUGUAGAGGCACUUAUCAAAUGCCUUUACAACAAUGUAGAGGCAUUUUAAAAAAUGUCCAAUAAGUGUCUUAUGGUGAAUUGUCUCUACAAACGAAGAGACAUUUUAUAAAAUGUCUAUAAGAUGGUAGAGGCAUUUUUUAGAGACUAAAUUGUACCGCAAACAUAUAAAACCAGUCAAAAAAGAGAAUAAAAUAGUUUCCUUGCUUUUGAUAAGUCUUGAACUCAUGAUCUUUUGGUUAAAUCAUUUUAAUCUUCGAUACACUAACCAACUCAACUCCAUGUCAUUACUUGUAUAUUUGUUCCUUUAAUUACUUAUAUUUAGUCGUUUAGUACACAUUAUCAUUCUAAAAAGUGUCUCUACAUAGUUUAAAAUGUCUCAACAAAAUGCCUUUACAUAUUAGACGCAUUUUAUAGUGCCGAAAGAAUGCCUCUACAAGAUAAAAUCUAACAAACUGAUAUAAAAAUGUCUCUAGAGUAAAAGUUUUCUAGGCAAUUUUUAAAGUGUCUCUACACUAUAAAACUUCUGAUUGUAGAAGCAAUUUACAAAAUGCCUCUACAAAAGUGCCUCUAUACGAGUUUUUUGUUGUAGUGGGUCCACUGUUUUUUUUUUGUUAUUUUUAGAUUUGUACUAGGUAGCUGUGGUAGCUUUGAGCACUCCAAUUUUUGUUGGAUGUAGUGCAUUGCAAAAUUAAUUUUUUGUCUGUAAUUAGGAGAUCCUAAGAAUUUCAAAGAGAGUGUAUAGCUUUGUGUAGCAUCAAGUUUGGAUAGCCCUUUUUUUUAUUUUGGUGUCAACAAAAAGACAAAAGAAAGCUAUACAAAGCUACUCGCAGCCCAGCACAAAAGAAUUUUAAGUCUGAUAUUUUUUUUAAGAAUAUAAAAGGUUGGCUUGUUUCUUGCUAGUUAUCACGGUCAAAAUAUGUCCACGGAUUUUUCGCUACCGUUUCUUAGAGCUGGCAUGACGACAAAAGAUAUAAAGUGUUCAUACUCAAGCUUUUGGGAGUGCUUCCAUAAUAGAGUUAUUGUAGAUGUAUUUAUGAUUCGAUAUUGUAAUUUGCAUGCAUAUCUUCGAAGGGUAAAUGUUUCAGAUUGUUAGGAACAAAUCUAACAUUAUUUUUAAAGAAAAAAAAUCCCCAAUGAUAGUACAAAAUAAUAUAGGAAGAUGAAUAACUACCAUUAAACUACUUUCAAUGAUAUCCUUUUUCAUUCAAAAGGGUGAUCUGCCGUAUGCUUUCUACAUUUAAUUGGCUAUAUUUCUCAUAGAAGUCCAUUUCCAAGCUAACAUUAAAAUAGCGUGUGGGUGAUAAAUUUCUUUCUUUUUUAAAAAAAGCUAGCAUUGAAAAUAGCGCGUGAGGACGAACUGAGCUGCCAUUUCUGCAUUUCAUUUCCAGGUAGAGUACUUGUACAAUCCAAGGAGCGUUUCGUAAAUUGUUUCCUUAGUCAGGGUGUGAAACGAAAAGGCCACCACUGCCUAUAAUACUAGCCUCCUCCCCCCACAUGGACCCCUCAUCCUCCUCCUCCUCCUCCUCUCCCUUUUCUACUCCAUUCCAUUCCAUCUCCUCCACUUCCACCCUCAGGCCUCAGCUCGCCAUCGCCAUUGUUGCAACACCAAGUGUUUGUGGUCGGAACGAGAUCGAGCAGCAGCCAUCCAUGGUGAGGAAGGAGAUGGGCGGCGGCGGCGGCAGGCUCGCGGCGGAGUACCAGGGCCUGGAGGUGAAGGUACCCACGUUCUUCCGGUGCCCCAUCUCCCUCGACGUCAUGCGCUCGCCGGUGAGCCUCUGCACCGGCGUCACCUACGACCGCGCCUCCAUCCAGCGCUGGAUCGACUCCGGCAACACCACCUGCCCCGCCACCAUGCUCCCGCUCCCCUCCACCGACCUCGUCCCCAACCUCACCCUCCGCCGCCUCAUCGCGCUCUGGGCCUCCACGGCCGCGCCGUCGUCGCCGGCGGCGCCAUCGGCUGUUGGCCCCACCCCGG
This 10941-nucleotide long non-coding RNA is filed under the name Oryza sativa (Asian cultivated rice). RNAcentral describes it as "long non-coding RNA (OSAT_LNC000386)". The stretch from base 3302 to 3506 matches the Rfam family "MIR812 microRNA precursor family". Lineage: Eukaryota; Viridiplantae; Streptophyta; Magnoliopsida; Poales; Poaceae. The record is from RNAcentral.